GUAUAGAUUUUAUAGGCAACAAAGGCCCAAUAAUUACAUUCUAUAACUUUAAUUGGGGUGUAUGAGGAGACAUAGGCCUGGAAAUGUAAGGAGAGACUAAUAAAUCAAUCCUCAAAAACCCGAGUGCCAACUCAAAGUUAGCCCAUCAGAGAGAUAUCCAGGUCUACAAAAUGUGCACAGGAGGAUAUAUAAAGAUGACAAGUGUGCACAUGCUCCCUAGAGAACCAGCAACAACUCAUCAGAUUUAUUUCAAUAAUGAUCCUUCCGCAGGUUCACCUACGGAAA
Molecule: unclassified non-coding RNA, 285 nt
Filed under: uncultured fungus
Lineage: Eukaryota; Fungi
Description: sequence contains ITS1
Source: RNAcentral